This 272-nucleotide ribosomal RNA is filed under the name uncultured archaeon. Its description in RNAcentral is "partial 16S ribosomal RNA". It matches the Rfam family "Archaeal small subunit ribosomal RNA", at positions 477 to 747 of the family's 1478-position model. The record is from RNAcentral.
CUGCGCCACAAGUGGUGAUCGCGUUUAUUGGGCCUAAAGCGUCCGUAGCCGGAUUGAUAACUCUUUUGUGAAAUUGUUAGACUUAAUUUAACAACGUGCAGGAGAAACUGUCAAUCUUGGGACCGGAGAGAAGUCAGAAGUAUGCCGUGGGGAGCGGUAAAAUGCAAUAAUCCACGGUAGACUACCUGUGGCGAAGGCGUCUGACUAGAACGGAUCUGACGGUGAGGGACGAAAGCUAGGGGAGCAAUCUGGAUUAGAUACCCGAGUAGUCC